AAGGAAAAAUACGUUAAUCCGACGCAAUAGUUUACGUUGAAGAUAUUGCAGGAUUUCAGGUUAAAAAUUUGAGAACUACAGAGGGAUAAUAGAAUGGUGCGUCUGAAUGGACUCGAACCAUCGACCCCCACCA
Molecule: antisense RNA, 133 nt
Filed under: Enterobacter cancerogenus
Lineage: Bacteria; Pseudomonadati; Pseudomonadota; Gammaproteobacteria; Enterobacterales; Enterobacteriaceae
Description: HPnc0260
Rfam family: Bacterial antisense RNA HPnc0260
Source: RNAcentral